Non-coding RNA from Arachis ipaensis, 247 nucleotides. NCBI's taxonomy places the organism in Eukaryota, Viridiplantae, Streptophyta, Magnoliopsida, Fabales, Fabaceae. The record is from RefSeq and is a predicted model, not a curated record.
CCUCUUGCGUGCUCUGUUCAAGGCUUCUAGCUUCUAGGUUGAAUUAUUAUCGAAUAAUUUUGACUUAUGAGAUCAUUUGGUUGGAGUGAUUUGCUAUGGGUUCUUGUGAAUCUGUGAUUUUGUACUUGUUAAUUCGGUAAAUAGUUGUUGUCAUUCUUGCACUUGAGAUUAUUGUGUUACUUUGCUCUUCUCAAAUUGUAAAUUUGCUGAAUUGUUGCUGUUAUUGUAAUUCUUGAGAUUGAAAUUG